UGUCUUUUUGAAUAUAAUUUAAAGUCUAAUCUGCCCAAUGAUAAAAUUGAAUGGCCGCGGUAUAUUGACCGUGCAAAGGUAGCAUAAUAAUUAGUUUYUUAAUUAGAAGCUGGAAUGAAGGAUUGAAUGAAAAAAUAACUGUCUCAAUUUAAUUUAUUUAGAAAUUUAUUUUUAAGUUAAAAAGCUUAAAUAUAAUUAAAAGACSAGAAGACCCYAUAGAGUUUUAUUUUUUUUUUAAAUAAAAAUUUAUUGAAUAAAAUUUUUUUAUUUAUAAAAAAAAUUUUGUUGGGGUGAUGAAAAAAUUAAAAUAACUUUUUUUAUAUAAAAACAUUAAUAUAUGAAUUAUUGAUCCAAUAUUAUUGAUUAUAARAUUAAAUUACCUUAGGGAUAACAGCGUAAUUUUUUUUAARAGUUCUUAUCGAAAAAAAARAUUGCGACCUCGAUGUUGGAUUAAAAUUUAAAUUUGGUGUAAAACCUAAAUAUUUAGGUCUGUUCGACCUUUAAAAUUUU
This 510-nucleotide ribosomal RNA is filed under the name Neohydnus sp. 1 NLG-2013. RNAcentral describes it as "partial 16S ribosomal RNA". Lineage: Eukaryota; Metazoa; Arthropoda; Insecta; Coleoptera; Cleridae. The record is from RNAcentral.